Molecule: ribosomal RNA, 372 nt
Filed under: uncultured organism
Description: bacterial SSU rRNA
Rfam family: Bacterial small subunit ribosomal RNA
Source: RNAcentral
CAGAGGCCUCAAGCGUUAGGCGGAAUCACUGGGCUUAAAGCGUGUGUAGGCGGAUCGUUAAGUGUCUUGUGAAAUCCCCCGGCUCACCCGGGGAACUGCUGGGCAUACUGGCGAUCUUGGGCCAACUAGGGGCAACUGGAACAAGCGGUGGAGCGGUGAAAUGCGUAGAUAUCGCUUGGAACGCCGAAGGUGAAAACAGGUUGCUGGGGUUGUGCCGACGCUGAGACACGAAAGCCAGGGGAGCAAACGGGAUUAGAUACCCCGGUAGUCCUGGCCCUAAACGAUGUCCACUAGAUUGCGGCGGGUUUGACCCCGUCGCGGUCGAAGCAAAAGUGUUAAGUGGACCGCCUGGGAAGUACGGUCGCAAGGCUA